This is a long non-coding RNA of Oncorhynchus tshawytscha (Chinook salmon), 2884 nucleotides long. The record is from Ensembl. NCBI's taxonomy places the organism in Eukaryota, Metazoa, Chordata, Actinopteri, Salmoniformes, Salmonidae.
GGAGGAUGAGGUAGAAGGAAGGAGGAGGAAGAAGAAGAGGAGGAGGACGAUGAAGAGAAAGAGGAGUUUAUAUUCCUGAAUGCUUGGAUAGCAUUGAAUUGGGUAUGGUUUAAAAGUUUUAGAGUUAAUAUCCAAUUCUAGAGGGACUAUCCACAGUCGUACACAAGUACACUCAGAGAUGUUUAUUGCUGCUAGUACAACAGGUGUCUUUUCACAAUGAGUAGUUGGGAUAACAGUUAUAAUUUCAGCUCUCUUUUCUCCUGAAGAAGGGAGGAGAGAAGAGAAAAAACUGUUCCUCCUUCCGCUGGGUCAAAGUUCAACCGUUUUUAAUCAGUUACAGUCCAAAGAGGUUGCUAUGGGGAAUCAUGGCGUGAGGUCUGAUUGGACUGACUCUACUUUUUGUCAGGUUGACCAGGACAUCCUUCUUCAUGUUGCCUGCUGGGAUGUGUAGUUCACAAGGGAGCCUCUGGAUCUCCUCAGUUCCAUCACUGUCAGACACAGGGAAGCACAAGAAUUACACUCAGGGAAAACACACACACACACAAACACACAGUAUUGAUUUUCACACCAUCCCUUAAUCUGAACACUUUUCAAACACAGACUGAUAUUUUCAGACAGGCAUUCUUUUUCCCGGCUACUACUUCAGACCCAUCCAGACCCCCUAAAAAUGUUUUAAAUUAUUUGAAAAAUCUAAUCUUCAUUCAGUAUGAAAAAAAAAAGAAAAUGUAUGCACUCACUACUAUAAGUCGCUCUGUAUAAUAGCGUCUGCUUAAUGACUAAAAUAUAAAUGUACAUUUUGUAAACGUUUUGUCCACACUGCUAAGACGAGCUAAUUGUCAAACACAGACAAAUACCCGCAGUCUACUAUUGCAGCAUAAUAACUAAAAUAAAGAUCUGUGUGUAUAAUUCAUUGUAUUUGAUGUUAGAGAUACUAUUGCCGUUCACCAAACCUCAUUAAAAGUGUCCAUUUUUUCCCCCAGUAAAAGGUUGUUCAGCGCUAUCGGUCAUCUGCUAGGUAAAUUAGCACCAUUAUUCUGCUGCCAGUUUAUGAAUAUCAAUCGGGCCAGGAUAGAAAGACGCCCCUUAUCUGAUGGCCAGGGAAAUGAACGGGGCUUUCUGCUGACUGCACAAUACAGUGGGAGACGAGACAGAAUACUAGAGACCUAAAUAUGCAGGGCCAGAAACCAGAGACACCCUAAUAGACCAGCAGCAUAGCUGGACAUGUUUUAAUGGGUGGGCCUGCUACACAUUUAGCAAUGGGGCAAAACGAAACACGUGCAUCUCAUGUUGUGCUACACAUUUAGCAAUGGGGCAAAAAAGAAACACUUGCAUCUCAUGUUGUGCUACACAUUUAGCAAUGAGGCUGAGAGACGUUUUUACAUGUUUAAGUUAAUAUACAGAGCCAUCAGAAAGUAUUCAUUCUCCUUGACUUAUUCCACAUUUGGUUGUGUUACAGUCUGAAUUGUUUUCUACACACAAUACGUCAUAUUUAAAAAAGUGAAAACAUGUUUGUAGAAAUGUUUGCAAAUUUGAGUCAGAAAAUGAUGUUCAUAUAAUCGGUAAAAUAUACAAAACCUUGCAGAGAGCCUAUCCAACUGACAAGCUCUUGUAAAAAACUAUGAACAAUUGGAACCCAGAUACAAAGAACUGAUGUUGACACAAAAUGGAGGGAAUGUUGAAACAAUGUAAAAGGUCAAAUGCAACAAUAAAUGAUGAAAGUGUUUGGGCGACACGAGAGACAAAAUGAUGCAGUCUGAGGCCAUGUGGAGUCCUGGAGGCCAUGUGGAGUGCUGGAGGCCAUGUGGAGUGCUGGAGGCCAUGUGGAGUGAUGGAGGCCAUGUGGAGUGAUGGAGGCCAUGUGGAGUGCUAGAGGCCAUGUGGAAUGCUGGAGGCCAUGUGGAGUGCUGGAGGCCAUGUGGAGUGCUGGAGGCCAUGUGGAGCGCUGGAGGCCAUGUGGAGUGCUGGAGGCCAUGUGGAGUGCUGGAGGCCAUGUGGAGUGAUGGAGGCCAUGUGGAGUGCUGGAGGUGUGAGCAGGUGGGUCUGUUUGUGUCCAUCUGUAUUUUGUAAUUUGUACGUCUAUGUUCUGUAUUGGGGGAAAAAACAACAUAAAUACGCCCCCCCCCCAAAUGUAUUGUAAAAUUAAAUAUAAAAAUACCUCAUUUCAUUAAGCAUUCACACCCCUGAGUCAAAUCAACUUUGGCAGCGAUUGCAGCUGUGAGUCUUUCUGGGUAAGAAGUUUUCACCCUUGCAUUGUGCAAUAUUUGAACAAUAUUUAUAAUUAUUAGACAGACAUUUUAAAAUCGUACCAUAGACUUUCAUGUUUAAGUGAAAACUGUAACUAGGCCACUCAGGAACAUUCAAUGUCAUCUUUUUAAGCAACAUCAGUGUAUAUUUGGCCUUGUGGUUGGGGUUUUUGCCCUGCUGAAAGGUGAAUUUGUCUCCCAGUGUCAGUAUUUUGCCUGUAUCUCUAUUCCUUUUAUUUUCAUCCUGGAAACCUUCACAGUCCUUGCCAGUGACAAGCAUACCCAUCACAUGAUGCAGCCACCAUUAUGCUUGAAAAUAUGAACAGUGGUACUUAGUGAUGUGUUGUGUUGGGUUUGCCCCAAACAUAACACUUUGUAAGGACAUCAACUGAGUUAGGAAGGAUGUCUGUUUAUGUGUUGUGACUGGGCGUAUUGAUACACCAUCCAAAGUAUAAUUCAUAUCUUUCCCAUGCUCAAAGGGAUAUUCAGUGUCUGGUUUAUUUAUUUUUUACCUAUCCACCAAUAGCUGCAUUGAAAAACCUCCCUGGUCUUUGCGGUGGAAUAUAUGUUUGAAAUGCACUGCUCGACUGAGGGACCUUACAGAUGUGUGUGGUACAGAGAUGAGGUAGUCCUUCAAAAAG